CUACAUANAGACUGGAUAACAGAGGGAAACUUCUGAUAAUACUGGAUAAGUUAGUAGUAGCAUUACUAAGUAAUGAAAGGUAGCAAUACGCUAUAUGAGAGCUUUGCAUCCUAUUAGCUAGUUGGUGGGGUAAAAGCCUACCAAGGCGAUGAUAGGUAGCCGGCCUGAGAGGGUGGACGGCCACAAGGGGACUGAGAUACGGCCCUUACUCCUACGGGAGGCAGCAGCA
This 229-nucleotide ribosomal RNA is filed under the name uncultured Sneathia sp. RNAcentral describes it as "partial 16S ribosomal RNA". It matches the Rfam family "Bacterial small subunit ribosomal RNA", at positions 127 to 355 of the family's 1533-position model. Lineage: Bacteria; Fusobacteriati; Fusobacteriota; Fusobacteriia; Fusobacteriales; Leptotrichiaceae. The record is from RNAcentral.